GAGCGUGAGGUACCUGACAUGAAACUGUCCGCACUGUCCGUUUCUAAACUUCAAGCGUGCAAAGUGUUGCAAUAAAACCACAUUGCUCUGAUUCAGGAGGAAAAGAUUGGAAAAGCGCGCCUAAUAUAAACGACGGCGGCUCGUAAGGGACGCGCGCGCUCUAAACUGUCCCAGAACCGCAAUCAAACGAAUGUAGGGGCCGUUCACAUAUCGCGUCUUUCGUGCGCUCAAGUUCGUUAUUUCAAAAGUAGACGAGCGGCAGGCGCGUCCGAGCCGCAUCAAAAACAUUUCAACUUUUCAGAAUGCUGCAAGCGCACCGCGGGUCAAGUGACAAGAAGCAACCAAUCAGCUUCAUCCUUUCCUGUAGCAACACUGAAAGCUCAGCCAAGAUGAAGGAACAGCUUAGCUGUAUAUGGAUAGCCAUUUUAGAUAAAUUCAAUAACAGAGCUACUGCAAGCGACUUUUAGUCAAAUCCAUUUAUCCUUUGCUGAAAUUUCCGCUUCUUCAUGGAGAGCGCAGGCCAUGCUGCUUAGCAACGGGAGACGCCUUUUGGAGCGCAAUGCACUUAGCGUUUUCCACGCGUUUUUAGGCGCGACAUGUGAACGGCCCCUUAAGAGCUCUUAAAAUGCAGGGCCACAACAACAACACUGGCAGCAAUAGCAACAGGGUAAACAACAGCGACUGUGUGACAACAGAUGAAUGGACUUCAAACAGAGAGACAAACCAAUGCGGAUCAAAGAUGGGUGCGCAUGGCAACACCAGAAAACAGUGUGUGUUAUCAGCUGGUCGAACUUAUCUUCCCCUCUCCUGAAUCUCUUCCAUCAGCAGGUAGAUUAUACUCGUCACCUGCGAGCACUUCAAAGGUGUGUUUUCUCUGCUUGUGCUUUAGCAACAGUCGUCAUUGAGAAAAGCGAUAAUUGUCAGAGGUGUUGUGCAAAGAAAUGCCCUUUUCUUGACUCCUGUCAGCGCUGGAGAUCUGGAGACCACAAGCGAGCGUGUUAUCCAGCGGCGGGAUCAACACUGGGCCCCGUCACGCCGAGUCCUGUGUAGUUCAGCCAGGGGGAACUGGGAAAGGAAGAGGAAAGAGCUGGAACACUUGCGAUGAUAGUCACCUUCUCUCCCCGAUUAUCUUUGGUGAUUGAGGAAACGUGCCUCGCUGCAGUCCACACACCCAUACACUGUCAAUGGAGGGAAAAGUCUUUAGUGCUCCCUUACAAAAAGCACUCCUAUCUGUUUUCAGGAAAAAAAACAAGGGUGUUGUAGAUAUGGUAAACACAUAACACAUACUCCAUCCAAGUUUAUGUGCAACAACACUGGCUGAGGUAACCGCCUGGCCAAAGGUUUAAUUCUUUUGUAAUUCCAGGUGAGAGAGUGGACAUUAUGAACUGCGGGCAAGAGCUCUUUGCAGAAAUGAGCCCAUAAAAGAUUAAAACACGAAGAAAGUAAUCUCACAUAAAGGGGCAUACAGGAAAAUGAAACACUUUAAAUUGGUAUGCUUUAUAAUUCAUAGAAACGACAUCGGUGUGGAAUGCUUUUGCUGUGCUCAAACCUAAAACGUUUUUCAUGCUGGAAACAGUGUUGAUAAGUAUGGAUCGUGACAGAUGAUUUGCAGGUAGGCAAACCUAAUGCAACAUGGAACGCAAAUGGAGCAAAGAGCCGCUGUUUUUUUUUUUCUCUCUCUCUCUCUCUCUGAUUUUAAAUUAAGUUUCUCUCCUCUGGGACGGACCAUCAGGCUGGA
Long non-coding RNA from Cyprinus carpio carpio, 1738 nucleotides. NCBI's taxonomy places the organism in Eukaryota, Metazoa, Chordata, Actinopteri, Cypriniformes, Cyprinidae. The record is from Ensembl.